RNAcentral lists this transfer RNA (70 nucleotides) under Rosa chinensis. RNAcentral describes it as "tRNA RchiOBHm_Chr1g0342761". The stretch from base 5 to 64 matches the Rfam family "tRNA", at positions 6 to 65 of the family's 71-position model. From Rfam's summary of the family: Transfer RNA (tRNA) molecules are approximately 80 nucleotides in length. Lineage: Eukaryota; Viridiplantae; Streptophyta; Magnoliopsida; Rosales; Rosaceae. The record is from RNAcentral.
ACAGUAUGGUCGAAUGGUAAAAUUUCUCUUUGCCAAGGAGAAGAUGCAGGUUCAAUUCCCGCUAUCUGCC